This 82-nucleotide transfer RNA is filed under the name Dendronephthya gigantea. RNAcentral describes it as "tRNA-Ser". It matches the Rfam family "tRNA". From Rfam's summary of the family: Transfer RNA (tRNA) molecules are approximately 80 nucleotides in length. The record is from RNAcentral. Lineage: Eukaryota; Metazoa; Cnidaria; Anthozoa; Malacalcyonacea; Nephtheidae.
GUAGUCGUGGCCGAGUGGUUAAGGCGACAGACUUGAAAUCUGUUGGGAUAUUCCCGCCCAGGUUCAUAUCCUGCCGACUACG